Molecule: transfer RNA, 76 nt
Filed under: Caudoviricetes sp.
Lineage: Duplodnaviria; Heunggongvirae; Uroviricota; Caudoviricetes
Description: tRNA-Asn
Rfam family: tRNA
About the family: Transfer RNA (tRNA) molecules are approximately 80 nucleotides in length. Their secondary structure includes four short double-helical elements and three loops (D, anti-codon, and T loops).
Source: RNAcentral
UCCCCUUUAGCUCAGAUGGUAGAGCACUUGGCUGUUAACCAAGGUGUCGUUGGUUCGAACCCAACAGGGGGAGCCA